GUCGUCGCGAUAUUGACACAAGCAGUACGCAAGCGCGACCGGCCAACGACACACAGUCGCAAACACAGGUCGAUAGUCUACACCGCCUACCAUCAGUUACCACUCGUACAGCCCGACGACCGUCACAACUUUAGUACACUCUCCGGUUUGAUGCGUUAUCAGGCGUUUGUGUUCGGGAUUAUUUGCAUUUUGUUGUUGCAUUCAUAAUUAUUAUAAUAUACCGUAGUCGCUACUCAUCAUGGUGUUAUGAUAAUAUUAUUAUAGUAUGAAUCCGACAAUCAGUACGUUCGUCCUUAUGUUAACAAUACAAGUGGUGUUGACGCGUAAGAAUAUUUUUCAUUAAUCAAGUAUUGUAUGUGCAGGUUAGUUGGCUGGCUGGCGCUACUGCGGCUCUGGUGGUGCGGAACGCGACUACGUUGUCCACUCAUGUACAAUUCUUUGUACUCCCGGGUAUCUGUCUGAUCGAUUGAGUUCGAUUUUUUAACGUUCCGUAGAAAUUUACGUCAUCACCAGCAAUGAUUAAGUCAUAAAAAACAGCGGCUUGACUGUCAACGACCAAGAAUCAGGAAUCCAGGUCGGUACCGAAAUUGAAAAUUAAAAUACCUUUUGGUUGGUUAGCCGUAACGUAAUUUUUAUUGAUCAUUUUUACGCCUUUUUAUUUUAGUCACAAUAAAACGUACAUGUAUACCUUUUAUUAUUUGAGUUCAAUGUAUGGUCUUCCUCAGUGGCCUAAUUAAUCGAUUCGG
Cinara cedri is the source of this 746-nucleotide non-coding RNA. NCBI's taxonomy places the organism in Eukaryota, Metazoa, Arthropoda, Insecta, Hemiptera, Aphididae. The record is from the annotation of a GenBank genome assembly.